RNAcentral lists this ribosomal RNA (2021 nucleotides) under activated sludge metagenome. RNAcentral's name for it is "bacterial LSU rRNA". It matches the Rfam family "Bacterial large subunit ribosomal RNA", at positions 1 to 2007 of the family's 2925-position model. The record is from RNAcentral.
UAAAGGUAUAAAGGGCUCACGGAGGAUGCCUAGGUAGCGGGAGGCGAAGAAGGGCGUGGCCAGCUGCGAAAAGCCGCGUGUAGGUGCAAGCGACCAUAGAAGCGCGGAUGCCCGAAUGGGGAAACCCACUAGGUAGAGAUACUUGGUAUCCUGAAAAGGAAGCGAACCUUGCGAACUGAAACAUCUUAGUAGCGAGAGGAAAAGAAAUCGAAGAGAUUCCCUGAGUAGCGGCGAGCGAAACGGGAAGAGCCUAAACCUAUAUAGUGUAAGCGUACGGGCGUUGCUAUAUAGGGGUAGAGGGAUAUAUACGGGUCUGACCGUACAGGGCCGGGAGAAGCCAAAGGCUAGUCGAACUAUCUGGGAAGAUAGACCGGAGAAGGUGAAAGUCCUGUAGGCGAAAGUUAGAGGCUAUCCUUGUAUAUAUCCCGAGUAGCGCGGGGCACGAGGAAUCCCGCGUGAAUCUGGGGAGACCACUCUCUAAGGCUAAAUACUACCUGCUGACCGAUAGCGAAAAAGUACCGUGAGGGAAAGGUGAAAAGCACCCCGGGAGGGGAGUGAAAGAGUACCUGAAACCGUGAGUCUACGAUAAGUGGGAGCACGAAAGUGCGACCGCGUGCCUUUUGAUUAAUGAGCCUGCGAGUUACCGUAACUGGCGAGGUUAAUCCGAGAUAGGAGAAGCCGAAGGGAAACCGAGUCUUAACAGGGCGGAAGUCAGUUGCGAUAGACCCGAAACCGGGUGAGCUAUCCAUGGGCAGGUUGAAGGUGGGGUAACACCCACUGGAGGACCGAACCAGUUAGCAGUAAAAAGCUAUUGGAUGACCUGUGGAUAGGAGUGAAAAGCUAACCGAACUCGGUGAUAUCUGGUACUCCUCGAAACGUGUUUAAGCACGGCCUUGCAUGGUUAGUGGAGGGGGUAGAGCACUGAUUGGGCUAGGGGGGCGACCUCCAACCCCAGUCAAACUCCGAAUACCUCUACUCAAAGUGCAGGAGACAGACUGCGAGCGAUAAGGUCCGUAGUCGAGAGGGAAACAGCCCAGACCACCAGCUAAGGGCCCAGAGAGAUAGCUAAGUGUUAAAGGAAGUGGAGAGUCAAAGACAGCUAGGAUGUUGGCUUAGAAGCAGCCAUCAUUAAAAGAGUGCGUAACAGCUCACUAGUCGAGACUCACCGCGCCGAAGAUGUAAGGGGGCUAAAGCUAUCCUCCGAAGCUGUGGAACAGGAAACUGUUGGUAGAGGAGCAUUGUGUUGUAGGGAGAAGGCAGACCCGUGAGGGCUGUUGGACGAGACACAAGAGAGAAUGCAGGCAUGAGUAAACGAAAGGAGAGUGAGAAUCUCUCCCCCCGAAAGCCUAAGGGUACCUGGGGAAGGUUCGUCCGCCCAGGGUUAGUCGAGACCCUAAGGGGAACCCGAAAGGGGUAACCGAUGGGAAACCGGUUAAUAUUCCGGUACUGGCGUAGCAUGAGUUUUGGGGUGUGACACAGGAGGAUAGGCGUUGCGUACUAGUUGCAUAGUGCGUCCAAGUUUCGAGUCCGGAGAUCGCGGCAGGGAAAUCCACCGCGGGAGGGUGAGGGACGAAUGGGAGUUCCUUCGGGAGCAACAACGUUGAGUUCACACUGUCUAGAAAAGCAUCGCAAAGCGUUUGAGUGCUAAGCCAAUCGUUCUGAAAACCGACACAGGUAGGCAAGCUGAGAAGGCUAAGGGGAGCGGGAUAACUCCUGUUAAGGAACUAGGCAAAUUAGCCCCGUAACUUAGGGAGAAGGGGUACUCUGGUUGGUUAAGAGCUGACUGGAGUCGCAGUGACAAGGCAGCGGCGACUGUUUACCAAAAACACAGGGCUCUGCGAAUUCGAGAAGAAGACGUAUAGGGUCUGACGCCUGCCCAGUGCUGGAAGGUUAAGGGGAAAGGUUAGCGUAAGCGAAGCUUUGAACCGAAGCCCCAGUAAACGGCGGCCGUAACUAUAACGGUCCUAAGGUAGCGAAAUUCCUUGUCGGGUAAGUUCCGACCUGCACGAAUGGCGUAACGA